This 249-nucleotide microRNA precursor is filed under the name Paramuricea clavata. Lineage: Eukaryota; Metazoa; Cnidaria; Anthozoa; Malacalcyonacea; Plexauridae. The record is from RNAcentral.
GACGUCGAAUAUCGACGUCAUAAACACCAAAGUUGUUUGUGUUUAUGACGUCGAAUAUCGACGUCAUAAACACCAAAGUUGAUCGUGUUUAUGACGUCGAAUAUCGACGUCAUAAACACCAAAGUUGUUCGUGUUUAUGACGUCGAAUAUCGACGUCAUAAACACUAAAGUUGUUCAUGUUUAUGACGUCGAAUAUUGACGUCAUAAACACCAAAGUUGUUCGUGUUUAUGACGUCGAAUAUCGACGUC